This 253-nucleotide ribosomal RNA is filed under the name uncultured bacterium. Its description in RNAcentral is "partial 16S ribosomal RNA". It matches the Rfam family "Bacterial small subunit ribosomal RNA", at positions 524 to 776 of the family's 1533-position model. The record is from RNAcentral.
UACGAAGGGUGCAAGCGUUAUUCGGAGUUACUGGGCGUAAAGAGCGCGUAGGCGGCCUAUUAAGUCGAUUGUUAAAGACCUUGGCUCAACUGGGGAACUGCAAUUGAAACUGAUGGGCUAGAGGUUAAGAGAGAGAAGUAGAAUUCUUGGAGUAGCGGUAAAAUGCGUAGAUCUCAAGAGGAAUACCGGUUGCGAAGGCAGCUUCUUGGCUUACACCUGACGCUGAGGUGCGAAAGCGUGGGGAGCAAACAGG